Molecule: RNA transcript, 1638 nt
Organism: Dreissena polymorpha
Lineage: Eukaryota; Metazoa; Mollusca; Bivalvia; Myida; Dreissenidae
Exons: 5
Source: RefSeq, a predicted model, not a curated record
ACUGUAAUGCUCAUCGUUGAUUUGUUAAUCUAUAGAUCAGCAUACAACAGAUGGUUUUUGUUAUAUUUACAUUUUUUUCAAACUUAAAUGUUAUAGUAAUUCUAUAAACACAAUGUGUUCAUAUUUCAAUAAACCAAUUAUUUUCUUGAAUAUAAAAGUUCAUUUUUAACAAACAUUUGGUGUGAGUCGAAAGUAUUGCGCUUUGGGGAGGAACGUCGAGAAUGUCACCAAUAUAUCCUCCGGAAAAAGUAUUUGGGCAGAUGGAUGAAUUAUCACGGACUACAUUAUAAAGCGGUUAUAGCAGUGAUACCAACGAUGAGUUAUCACCACAUAAUUCAGGCACAUACUCUUUGGUAGAAGAUCGGUCAUCAAUAACACAAUCUGGUGACCGAAGUUUGGAUGUUGUUUACACCACCGAGGAAACAGCCCAGAACGGCUAUAGUACAGGGUCAUCAUUUGUAGAACCCUGUGAUCUGGAAGAAGAUGGAGGGAGACGUGUUUGCAGAGGCAAUUGCAGGGCUGAAAACAAUUCCUCCAUAAUUGGCAUUGCCAUUCAUCUUCCGAUCAUUUUUGCUGCAGAUGCUAAAGUACCAACUCCAAACCUGGUGUAUCCUGUGUUGAAUCAUGUGGAUAUAAAUAUGGUUUCAUCCAAUGAGCAAGAAUUCGUUGAAGAGUUGCCAACGCCAAACACUACUAUGGAAUAGAUUUCGCUAGCUAGUGCCCCAGCCCAACAUUUACUUCCAACGGAUACAUUGCGGCAUCUAUUUAUACACACAAAACUACGGUACCAUGGGUAUCACAGCAGCACCUAGAUACUUUCAUAAUAAUUAGUAUUGCAUAAUCAAGUAUACCUAUAGGUGAUCUGUGUACGUAUUUUUCGUCAAUUAAUUUGCAUCAGUGUUUUGUAAAACAGUUUAACUGAAACGAUGUGCGAACAAUGUAUUUACUAAGCAAUAUGUUUAUCUAAAAAGAUGCCUUAAGCAUUUGUAACAUCGCGUGUAAAGUGAAAUGAUUGUGAAAACGAGCCUUGUUUUGAAAUUUUUCUGUGUUCAAUUUUGCAUAUUAGCAUGCAUUACAUCCAUGCUGUUUUUAAUAAUUAAAUUUUGUUAGCCCAUAAUAUGUUCAUAUUGGUGAAUACUACGUUUGUGUUAAGAUUGUGAGGUGUUUGUAUAAAUUGAUAAGGAUACAUUUUGUUAAAUCUACUAACACCUCUUUCUACAGGGUAAUGUUGGAUAAUAUUAUAUGGGAAUGGAAGUUCAUUUAUAUCAUAUAAUACAAGGAAAACAACCAUUUGCUUAAGCAUGAUUCAAAAUCAAUCUUGCAACUGAGUACAUUGUUCUGCAAGAUAGACCCACUAAAAUGACAUUGUGUUUUGCUUCAAUGUCAUUUGAACAUGGACACAUACAAAUAUAUAUAUAUGGAAUGCUUCAUAAUUAGAACUAAGUUUGUUCAAAAUAUACUAGUUUAUUUAUGUAAGAUAAACAUGCAUAUCCCAUUUUUGUACCGCAACUUCAAUUUAACUGAAAGCGAACAUAACAUGGCGAUGUUUUGUUUAACCUUAAUACAUGUUUGUCUUAUAUGUAUCACUUAACUCACUGUUUGUAUGUAAACACAUACAAUAAAGUGAUUAUGAUUUUA